UGGGGAAUAUUGCACAAUGGGCGCAAGCCUGAUGCAGCCAUGCCGCGUGUAUGAAGAAGGCCUUCGGGUUGUAAAGUACUUUCAGCGGGGAGGAAGGCGAUAAGGUUAAUAACCUUGUCGAUUGACGUUACCCGCAGAAGAAGCACCGGCUAACUCCGUGCCAGCAGCCGCGGUAAUACGGAGGGUGCAAGCGUUAAUCGGAAUUACUGGGCGUAAAGCGCACGCAGGCGGUCUGUCAAGUCGGAUGUGAAAUCCCCGGGCUCAACAUGGGAACUGCAUUCGAAACUGGCAGGCUAGAGUCUUGUAGAGGGGGGUAGAAUUCCAGGUGUAGCGGUGAAAUGCGUAGAGAUCUGGAGGAAUACCGGUGGCGAAGGCGGCCCCCUGGACAAAGACUGACGCUCAGGUGCGAAAGCGUGGGGAGCAAACA
RNAcentral lists this ribosomal RNA (427 nucleotides) under uncultured bacterium. RNAcentral describes it as "partial 16S ribosomal RNA". It matches the Rfam family "Bacterial small subunit ribosomal RNA", at positions 355 to 774 of the family's 1533-position model. The record is from RNAcentral.